GUGUCAGCCGCCGCGGUAAUACGGAGGGUGCAAGCGUUGUUCGGAAUUAUUGGGCGUAAAGCGCGUGUAGGCGGUCAUGUAAGUCAGAUGUGAAAUCCUUCCGCUUAACGGGAGAAGUGCAUUUGAAACUGCAUGACUGGAGUACGGGAGAGGAGAGUGGAAUUCCCGGUGUAGAGGUGAAAUUCGUAGAUAUCGGGAGGAACACCAGUGGCGAAGGCGGCUCUCUGGCCUGAUACUGACGCUGAGACGCGAAAGCGUGGGGAGCAAACAGGAUUAGAAACCCCCGUAGUCC
Molecule: ribosomal RNA, 292 nt
Filed under: uncultured bacterium
Lineage: Bacteria
Description: partial 16S ribosomal RNA
Rfam family: Bacterial small subunit ribosomal RNA
Source: RNAcentral